GCUUUGUGGUCUAGAAGCAUGAUUCUCCGUUCGGGUCGGAGAGGUCCCGGGUGCAAUUCCCGGCAGAGCCCCA
This 73-nucleotide transfer RNA is filed under the name Coemansia furcata. RNAcentral's name for it is "tRNA-Pro". Lineage: Eukaryota; Fungi; Kickxellomycota; Kickxellomycetes; Kickxellales; Kickxellaceae. The record is from RNAcentral.